RNAcentral lists this ribosomal RNA (492 nucleotides) under uncultured bacterium. Its description in RNAcentral is "partial 16S ribosomal RNA". It matches the Rfam family "Bacterial small subunit ribosomal RNA", at positions 29 to 507 of the family's 1533-position model. The record is from RNAcentral.
AGUGAACGCUGGCGGUAGGCCUAAUACAUGCAAGUCGAACGGAAACACAGUAAGAGCUCUCUCUUAACGUUGGCGGGUGGCGGACGGGUAAGGCAUACAUCGGAAUCUACUUAUUCUUGGGGGAUAUCGUAGGGAAGCUUACGCUACUACCGCAUACAACCUACGGGUGAAAGCAGUAGUUAUUCGGAGCUUGCCCGAUUGAAUGAGCCGAUGUCGGAUUAGCUAGUUGGGUGGGUAAAGGCCCACCAAGGCGACGAUACGUAGCUGGUCUGAGAGGGUGAUCAGCCACACUGGAACUGAGACACGGUCCAGACUCCUACGGGAGGCAGCAGUGGGGAAUAUUGGACAAUGGGCGCAAGCCUGACCCAGCCACACCGCGUGAGUGAAGAAGGCCUUCGGGUUGUAAAGCCCUUUUGUUGGGAAAGAAAAGCAGUAGAUUAAUACCCCGCUGUUCUGACGGUACCUAAAGAGUAAGCACCGGCUAACUUCGUG